Molecule: long non-coding RNA, 362 nt
Filed under: Zea mays
Lineage: Eukaryota; Viridiplantae; Streptophyta; Magnoliopsida; Poales; Poaceae
Description: long non-coding RNA (ZMAY_LNC004233)
Source: RNAcentral
UCACACUUGCUUUCCACACCGCACACAAACUCACAAACGCCUGCGCUAGCUACCGUUGCCGGCAGCUGCAACACUUGACCUGAAUGAAAGCUACUGCUGCUGUGGAUGGGCGGGGGCAAAGGCGAGGUGAGCCUAGACGUUGCUCCGUACCCCCUUGCGCUCUCCUUCUCCGUUCACCUUAAACUGCGGAGGAGGAAGAGCUGAAUAGCCCGCCGACGAGAUGGUCCUAGGCGUUGCUCCGGAAGGAGCCGUACCCCCUGGCGCUGGCGCGGAGGACGAUCUGGUGGUAUAGCGCUGCGAUCGCCGCUCCGAUGAACGGGCCCACCCAGAAGAUCCACUGCAUGCAGCAACAGCAAAUUAGC